UUCCGGUUGAUCCCGCCGGACCUGACUGCUAUCGGAUUGAUACUAAGCCAUGCGAGUCUUUGUAGUAAUACAAGGCAGACGGCUCAGUAACACGUAGUCAAUCUACCCUAUGGACGAGGAUAACCUCGGGAAACUGAGAAUAAUACUCGAUAGAUCAUUAUGCCUGGAAUGGUUUAUGGUCGAAAUGAUUUAUCGCCGUAGGAUGGGACUGCGGUCUAUCAGCUUGUUGGUGAGGUAAUGGCCCACCAAGGCUAUAACAGAUACGGGCUCUGAGAGGAGAAGCCCGGAGAUGGGUACUGAGACACGGACCCAGGCCCUAUGGGGCGCAGCAGGCGAGAAAACUUUGCAAUGUGCGAAAGCACGACAAGGUUAAUCCGAGUGUUUUCUGCUAAAGAAAUCUUUUGUCAGUCCUAAAAACACUGAUGAAUAAGGGGUGGGCAAGUUCUGGUGUCAGCCGCCGCGGUAAAACCAGCACCUCAAGUGGUCAGGAGGAUUAUUGGGCCUAAAGCAUCCGUAGCCGGCUCUGUAAGUUUUCGGUUAAAUCUAUACGCUCAACGUAUAGGCUGCCGGGAAUACUGCAUAGCUAGGGAGUGGGAGAGGUAGACGGUACUCGGUAGGAAGGGGUAAAAUCCUUUGACCUAUUGAUGACCACCUGUGGCGAAGGCGGUCUACUAGAACACGUCCGACGGUGAGGGAUGAAAGCUGGGGGAGCAAACCGGAUUAGAUACCCGGGUAGUCCCAGCUGUAAACUAUGCAAACUCAGUGAUGCACUGGCUUGUGGCCAGUGCAGUGCCGCAGGGAAGCCGUUAAGUUUGCCGCCUGGGAAGUACGUACGCAAGUAUGAAACUUAAAGGAAUUGGCGGGGGAGCACCACAAGGGGUGAAGCCUGCGGUUCAAUUGGAGUCAACGCCGGA
RNAcentral lists this ribosomal RNA (914 nucleotides) under uncultured archaeon. RNAcentral's name for it is "bacterial SSU rRNA". It matches the Rfam family "Archaeal small subunit ribosomal RNA", at positions 1 to 922 of the family's 1478-position model. The record is from RNAcentral.